RNAcentral lists this ribosomal RNA (404 nucleotides) under uncultured bacterium. Its description in RNAcentral is "partial 16S ribosomal RNA". It matches the Rfam family "Bacterial small subunit ribosomal RNA", at positions 30 to 526 of the family's 1533-position model. The record is from RNAcentral.
AUUGAACGCUGGCGGCAGGCCUAACACAUGCAAGUCGAGCGAGCGGCGGACGGGUGAGUAAUGUAUGGGGACUGCCCGAUAGAGGGGGAUAACUACUGGAAACGGUAGCUAAUACCGCAUACUAUCGGAUAACCCAUAUGGGAUUAGCUAGUAGGUGGGGUAAUGGCUCACCUAGGCGACGAUCCCUAGCUGGUCUGAGAGGAUGAUCAGCCCCACUGGGACUGGAACAACGCUCAGAAUCCCACGGGGGAAACUGUUGGGUAUAUUGCACAAUGGGCCCCAAUCUGAUGCAACCAUGCCGCGUGUGUGAAGAAUGCCCUACGGUUGUAAAGUACUUUUAGUCGGGAGGCGUUACCGACAGAAGAAGCACCAGCUAACUCCGGGCCAGCAGCCGCGGUGAUUUC